RNAcentral lists this ribosomal RNA (253 nucleotides) under uncultured bacterium. RNAcentral's name for it is "partial 16S ribosomal RNA". It matches the Rfam family "Bacterial small subunit ribosomal RNA", at positions 524 to 776 of the family's 1533-position model. The record is from RNAcentral.
UACGUAGGGGGCGAGCGUUGUUCGGAUUUACUGGGCGUAAAGAGCGCGUAGGUGGUUCGAUGAGUCGGAUGUGAAAUCCCUCGGCUUAACCGAGGACCCGCGUCCGAUACUGUCGAACUUGAGUGCAGGAGAGGAGAGCGGAAUUCCCAGUGUAGCGGUGAAAUGCGUAGAUAUUGGGAGGAACACCGGUGGCGAAGGCGGCUCUCUGGACUGUCACUGACACUGAGGCGCGAAAGCUAGGGGAGCAAACGGG